GGCUCAUUGUAUCAUGUUUACAUAUCAAUUAUAUAUUCUUCUCCCGUGCCUUCUCACACAUUUCAUACUCAUAGAGAAGUAACUUUAUCCAGUCAUCGAGUUUCAAACCGUGAGCAACUGGCCCUCGGGGAUUUCUCGGUCAUCAAAAGAAAAAUUAGUGAUGAGUAAUAUGAGCCGGAUAAAUUGAACAUUGGUCCAUGAAAACUAUCUUUAUGCCAUUAAUAUAGUAAAACUAAGUUAAUACAUUGCACAAAAAACACAAUACAGUGAACAAGGAAAUUCCCCAUUUCCCUGAGAGUAGACUAAGUAAAACUUGAGAAGUGAACAUAUCAAUCGUAUGCAUAAAGCUUAUUGAUAACAGUUCCAAUACUUCUCCUCAGUUUGAGGCAUAAAAAUACUAGUACUCACCAAGCUUGUUAAAAUAUACAAUGACUUCAAGGUCCCCUUAGAGGCUUUGUUGAGAUGUUUGUUAGUUGUUCAUGGAGAUAACAGAUUUAAUGACUAUUUCCUUGAAAAGAACCUUUUUACCCAAAUAAAUUGGCAGGCCAUAUAUAUGCUCAGGUGCUUCAUGAAAAAUCGAAUAGAGGUUGUGCACAAUGCUGUUUGAUUAUCACAACAUAAUCUUAUUCGUUCAGCGUCUCCAAACUUCAAAGCUAGAAGCAAUUGUAUAAUCCAUAGUAACUAUAACCAUGGGCUGAAACUUGCCUUAUGUGCUAAAAACGACGUUAUGUUUCUUAAUUUUCCAUGAUAUAUAGUCACCAGCAGAAAAGACAUAGCAUCCAGAUAUAAAUAGUUGAUCAAUAGGAGAAUCAACCCAAUUUGCGUCAGAGUAUCCUACAUCUUGAGAAUUUCAGUUAUCUUUGCAUAGUAACAUUUAGCUCGGUGCUUUACUAAUCAUAGUUCAUACAACAGCAUCCCAAUAAUCAGCGUUUGCAGAGCAUGAAUUGACAAAGUACGACCACAGCAAAAGGACUGAUAUGGUAAUAGGAAGGUAGUUUAAUGUACCAACCAACUUUUUGCUACAUGUUAAGAUCUACACACGCUCCCCCUGAUAUGAUAGGGGUUUACGAUUUGGAUCCACGGAACUAUUAAUACGUCUAUGGUCUAUAACUAUCAAUAGGUCUUUAGUCCAGCAUACAGUUUUUUACUAGACUAACAUUACACUAUGUUAUCGAAUAUAACAGAUAAUCUAAUGAAUUGUACGUGCAAAGCCCUUUAUUAAAAUUUCUACAUCCUACGCAGAUAUACUACAUAAUGCCCAUAAAACUAUUUGCUACAUGGAAAACUAUUUGCUACUUAAUUAAUAAGUAUCGAGAUAUCCUAACAAAACAAAGGCGUCCGUAGUUGAACAAAUACCAAAUUAGGUGUCCAUAGCUAUCUAAAGAAUGAAAAAGAAAGUAAAAAGGAAAAAGAGAAAUAAAAGACAUAGAACAAACCAGUUGCUCCAAUUGCUGGAACAAAAAUCAUGCAUCCGACGCGUGACCUUUCAGUAAAGCAAGAUGUGUAAUUCAAGCUUAUCUUCGUGAAGAAAAAUAUAGACGUAAUGAGCUAAAGUGUCAAAAUUUCAAGAAAUAGUUAUACAGCAAUCUUUUAUUCUAUGGAAAAAUCUAUAUUCUAAGUAAAGCACAACUCUUUUUAAUAUUCUUAACCAGUUCUUGAAUCAACAGAAGGCAAAUCUUUAACAAUGAUGUAAGCCAUCAACUAAAAGAUUCUGAUAACAAAAACAACAACAACUACCCAGUAUAGUCCCACAAAGUGGGGUCUGGGGAUGGUGAUAUGUAGACGGACCUUACCCCUACCCGUAAGGGCAGAGAGGUUGUUUCCAAUCGACCCCCGGCUCAGUGAAGGAAAGGAAAAAGAAAAACAAAACAAAAACAAAAGAGCAUUAGUAACUCCAGGAGAAAUAGCGUAAAUAAUUAUCUAAACAUAACAACAACAACAACAACAAUAACAACUACCCAGUAUAGUCUCACAAAGUGGGGUAUGGGGAGGGUAAUAUUUAGACGAGCCUUACCCCUACCCGAAAGGGCAGA
Molecule: long non-coding RNA, 2033 nt
Filed under: Nicotiana benthamiana
Lineage: Eukaryota; Viridiplantae; Streptophyta; Magnoliopsida; Solanales; Solanaceae
Description: long non-coding RNA (NBEN_LNC002817)
Source: RNAcentral